Molecule: transfer RNA, 76 nt
Filed under: Candidatus Hydrogenedentota bacterium
Lineage: Bacteria; Pseudomonadati; Candidatus Hydrogenedentota
Description: tRNA-Trp
Rfam family: tRNA
About the family: Transfer RNA (tRNA) molecules are approximately 80 nucleotides in length.
Source: RNAcentral
AGGCCCGUAGCACAACGGCUAGUGCAGCGGCCUCCAAAGCCGACGGUUGGGGGUUCGAAUCCCUCCGGGCCUGCCA